UACGUAGGUCCCGAGCGUUAUCCGGAUUUAUUGGGCGUAGAGCGAGCGCAGGCGGUUAGAUAAGUCUGAAGUUAAAGGCUGUGGCUGAACCAUAGUACGCUUUGGAAACUGGUUAACUUGAGUGCAGAAGGGGAGAGUGGAAUUCCAUGUGUAGCGGUGAAAUGCGUAGAGAUAUGGAGGAACACCGGUGGCGAAAGCGGCUCUCUGGUCUGUAACUGACGCUGAGGCGCGAAAGCGUGGGGAGCAAACAGG
RNAcentral lists this ribosomal RNA (252 nucleotides) under uncultured bacterium. RNAcentral's name for it is "partial 16S ribosomal RNA". It matches the Rfam family "Bacterial small subunit ribosomal RNA", at positions 524 to 776 of the family's 1533-position model. The record is from RNAcentral.